CCCUAGCCCUGGUAGUAGCGGCAUCCUCCGAUAUACAAAAACAAAAAUUUAUUUGUAGUUUUUGAUAAUCGGAGAUACAGCGUAUAACAGGAAUUGGC
RNAcentral lists this small RNA (98 nucleotides) under Flavobacterium urocaniciphilum. RNAcentral's name for it is "Flavo-1 RNA". It matches the Rfam family "Flavo-1 RNA". Lineage: Bacteria; Pseudomonadati; Bacteroidota; Flavobacteriia; Flavobacteriales; Flavobacteriaceae. The record is from Rfam by way of RNAcentral.